AAGUUCCUGAGGUGUUUGGUACGGUUGCAUUUAUUUAUCCAACACAGUGUACAGGGGACAUCGCGUCGGAGAGUUGCUGUCGAGCCGGCUGCGACCGGAAGGCAAACGCUCGCCGCAGAUGACCCACCUAUCAACAUGAUAGGGUACAUAGAUUCAAUCGGCCGGCAUAUCGGGAUUCGA
Molecule: non-coding RNA, 180 nt
Filed under: Eubacteriales Family XIII. Incertae Sedis bacterium
Lineage: Bacteria; Bacillati; Bacillota; Clostridia; Peptostreptococcales; Anaerovoracaceae
Description: 6S RNA
Rfam family: 6S / SsrS RNA
About the family: E. coli 6S RNA was the first non coding RNA to be sequenced, but its function was unknown until recently.
Source: RNAcentral